CUCCGCAGUGCCCUCCCUUUUCGGCCGCGGCGCGUGACUGGGCUUGGUGGAGUUUCAAGAUGCUGAUGAACUUAAGGUCUGGCGCUUGAAAGAAUCAGUGAAGCUUUUCAAGUAGAGGAGUACUCUACUUUGAAGAAAGGAAUGGAACAGAAGGUGUCUGCAUAACUAAAUGGGGAUCUAGAGAAAGUGGAGACUGCCUCUGGAGCAGGGAGGAUUAUGCCACCAUGACUAGAAGGCCCCCUAAUGGAGUUUAUCUGCACUGCAAGGGGCCAGUUGUCUCAGAAUCAUCCUCCGUUGACAUCUCCAUCUCCAGGACAGCUCCACACUAAUCUGUUUCAAAGACAAAAUCCAGUCUAAUCAGUUUGAUGUAUGUUUCUGGGAAUAGAGCCGAAUGUUGUAGCUGAUGGAAUGGAGUCUCAUACCAUUGAUUUUGCAGCUGGACAAGUGCCCUGCCAUGUUACUGCCACUCUUUAAGGCAGAAUAGAGCACAUUGUAUCAUUUAUAGGCCUCUCACAGUGAGAAAUAUGUGGAACUUUGGAAAUCAGAAUCUAAAACUGCAGUCCAAUGGGGUAGCCACUAUUCACAUGUGCUAUUGAGUACCUAAAAUGUGGCUAGACCAAGUUGACAUGUGCUGAAGGGUGAAAAACACCAGGAGUGAAGAAUUAACUUGAAAAAAAUGUAAACUAUCUCAAUUUUAUAUUGAUUACAAAUUAAAUGAUGUUUUGAAUAUAUUGAGUUAAAUGAAAUACAUUUUUUAAUGAUA
Molecule: long non-coding RNA, 763 nt
Organism: Homo sapiens (human)
Lineage: Eukaryota; Metazoa; Chordata; Mammalia; Primates; Hominidae
Gene: SNHG26
Product: small nucleolar RNA host gene 26
Exons: 5
Source: RefSeq, marked validated